Argiope bruennichi is the source of this 635-nucleotide long non-coding RNA. RefSeq lists it as uncharacterized. The transcript has 5 exons. The record is from RefSeq and is a predicted model, not a curated record. NCBI's taxonomy places the organism in Eukaryota, Metazoa, Arthropoda, Arachnida, Araneae, Araneidae.
GUGCAAUUGCCCUAACAAGUGUUUUUGCUUCACACUGUCUUUUGGAAUUGUACUUUGAAUGAUACUGUCCUACUAAUCGCCUCCAGAAGAAAGAAACUGUUGGUUUGGGACGAAAUCUGCCUGGCUUAGAUUACCUCCUAAUAUAAGAAACAUACGAGCAGAAAUUAACUGCCAUACGUUCAAACCCAAAUAUUGGAAAGCCCUUAAAAGGGCAUCACCAGGGUUCGUCUUCUGUCCGUAUUAAUAAUGCGGACAGAAUUGUAUAUAACUUUAACGAUACAGUGGUUGAUAUACAAGCCCUUGGACCUCAUGAUAGAGCAUAUCGAUAGGAUUAUGUACUGUCCCACUAAUAGCUUCUAGAAGAAAGAAAAACUGUUGGUUUGGGACGAAACCGUCUGUUUUCCUGAUCGUUUCCAAUUUCGUAUUCAAAAUCAAGAAAAUGGGGUUUUGCUGGUGAGUGCUGCCAUGGUGUUUUUCAGAUUUACCAUUUUUAAUAUUUUAGUGAAGCCCGUCUUCUGUCCUGGGAUUUAUGAAAUUUAUAUGUGAAAUGAAUUCUUCAGAGAAAUACUUUCCCCCUGUUUUACCAGGGUGCAAACUCAUGUUCCGUCCUGGUAUUGAUGUUACGCCAUCAUGUA